This 494-nucleotide ribosomal RNA is filed under the name uncultured bacterium. RNAcentral describes it as "partial 16S ribosomal RNA". It matches the Rfam family "Bacterial small subunit ribosomal RNA", at positions 28 to 507 of the family's 1533-position model. The record is from RNAcentral.
GACGAACGCUGGCGGCGUGCUUUAGGCAUGCAAGUCGAACGCGAAAGCCCCUUCGGGGGUGAGUAGAGUGGCGAACGGGUGAGUAACACGUGGGUAACCUGCCCCUCGCAGGGGGAUAACCGGGGGAAACCCCGGCUAAUACCCCGUACGCUUGCUGGGGCGCAUGCUCCGGCAAGGAAAGGUAGCUUCGGCCAUCCGGCGAGGGAGGGGCCCGCGGCCCAUUAGCUAGUUGGCGGGGUAACGGCCCACCAAGGCGACGAUGGGUAGCUGGCCUGAGAGGGUGGUCAGCCACACUGGGACUGAGACACGGCCCAGACUCCUACGGGAGGCAGCAGCCAGGAAUCUUGCGCAAUGGGCGAAAGCCUGACGCAGCAACGCCGCGUGGGCGAUGAAGGCCUUCGGGUCGUAAAGCCCUGUUGUCGGGGACGAAGGGCGAAGGGUUAAUAGCCCCUAGCCUGACGGUACCCGACGAGGAAGCCCCGGCUAACUACGUG